GUUUUUAUAGUUUAAAAAAAAACAUUGGUCUUGUAAACCAAAAUUUUAAAUCAAAUUUUUAUAAAAACA
This 69-nucleotide transfer RNA is filed under the name Bambusicaliscelis fanjingensis. RNAcentral's name for it is "tRNA-Thr". It matches the Rfam family "tRNA". From Rfam's summary of the family: Transfer RNA (tRNA) molecules are approximately 80 nucleotides in length. Their secondary structure includes four short double-helical elements and three loops (D, anti-codon, and T loops). Further hydrogen bonds mediate the characteristic L-shaped molecular structure. tRNAs have two regions of fundamental functional importance: the anti-codon, which is responsible for specific mRNA codon recognition, and the 3' end, to which the tRNAs corresponding amino acid is attached (by aminoacyl-tRNA synthetases). tRNAs cope with the degeneracy of the genetic code in two manners: having more than one tRNA (with a specific anti-codon) for a particular amino acid; and 'wobble' base-pairing, i.e. permitting non-standard base-pairing at the 3rd anti-codon position. Lineage: Eukaryota; Metazoa; Arthropoda; Insecta; Hemiptera; Caliscelidae. The record is from RNAcentral.